Non-coding RNA from Myotis lucifugus (little brown bat), 69 nucleotides. NCBI's taxonomy places the organism in Eukaryota, Metazoa, Chordata, Mammalia, Chiroptera, Vespertilionidae. The record is from Rfam.
AAGGGCUUAGCUUAAUUAAAGUAAUUGACUUGCAUUCAUUUGAUGUGAGAUAAAAUCGUGCAGUCCUUU